RNAcentral lists this ribosomal RNA (478 nucleotides) under uncultured bacterium. RNAcentral's name for it is "partial 16S ribosomal RNA". It matches the Rfam family "Bacterial small subunit ribosomal RNA", at positions 28 to 507 of the family's 1533-position model. The record is from RNAcentral.
GAUGAACGCUAGCGGCAGGCUUAACACAUGCAAGUCGAGGGGUAGUUAUCUUCGGAUAGAGAGACCGGCGCACGGGUGCGUAACGCGUAUGCAAUCUACCUUUUACAUAGGGAUAGCCCAGAGAAAUUUGGAUUAAUACCUCAUUGUAAAUAGACUCGGCAUCGAGAUUAUAUUAAAGUCACAACGGUAAAAGAUGAGCAUGCUUACCAUUAGCUAGUUGGUAAGGUAACGGCUUACCAAGGCUACGAUGGGUAGGGGUCCUGAGAGGGAGAUCCCCCACACUGGUAACGAGACACAGACCCGUAUCCUACGGGACGCAGCAGAAAGGAAUAUUGGACACUGGACGCUAGCCUGAUCCAGCCAUGCCGCGUGCAGGAUGACGGUCCUAUGGAUUGUAAACUGCUUUGAUACGAGAAGAACCACUGCUACGUGUAGCAGCUUGACGGUAUCGUAAGAAUAAGGAUCGGCUAACUCCGUG